RNAcentral lists this long non-coding RNA (571 nucleotides) under Ailuropoda melanoleuca (giant panda). RNAcentral's name for it is "lncRNA (ENSAMEG00000029125.1)". The record is from RNAcentral. Lineage: Eukaryota; Metazoa; Chordata; Mammalia; Carnivora; Ursidae.
CCCGCCGCGCCCCGCCGCCGCCUAGCUGCUCCUUCUGCACAUUGGCCUUCAGAGGGACCACGUGACUGACAGCUGGCCAAUGGCAUCGGUGGAAGCAAUCCCCGACCCUUCCAGCCUCCGGUCUGCUCACCCAGGGCCUGCUCACGUGACCUCUGCAUGCUCUCCCCUGCGCGGAGCUAGAUGCGUGGGCUGCCCACUGCGCUGAAGCCGCUGAAGCCGCUGAAGUGAGACGUGUUGUCGGAGUGAGCCUGCGCCCAGAAUGACCAGGAGCAGCAGGGCGCCGAUCUGUUGGGCGGUGACGAGAAAGAGUCUGCUGCUGACGCUUGGGGGGUGGAAACCACCUCUAGCCCCCAGAGCCAUUCCCAGAGAGGAUUGGACUAAGACAGUUCUUCCCAAGCCUGAGCAAGCAUGGAAGUCAUCUGGAAUGUUCAUCGAAACUCAGCUUACUGGGGCCACCUCGGAGUCUCUGCUUCUGGAGCCGCCCCACUUCCCUCAUGACUGCCAGCCGUCUUUGAUGUCAACUAACCGAGACUAGAAUGUCUGCUGCUCAAGGAACCUGGGAGACCUAGCA